Molecule: ribosomal RNA, 496 nt
Filed under: Cuapetes grandis
Lineage: Eukaryota; Metazoa; Arthropoda; Malacostraca; Decapoda; Palaemonidae
Description: partial large subunit ribosomal RNA
Rfam family: Archaeal large subunit ribosomal RNA
Source: RNAcentral
GCCACUGAUAUUAAUUAAAGGGCCGCGGUAAUUUGACCGUGCGAAGGUAGCACAAUCACUUGCCUUUUAAUUGGAGGCUAGUAUGAACGGCUGGAUGAGGGAUUAAAUGUCUCUGAGUUGUAAUUAAAAUUUUACUUUUAAGUGAAAAGGCUUAAAUUUUAUUAAGUGAAGAUAAGACCCUAUAAAACUUAUACACAAAUAAGUCAUGUUGAGUUUGAUACGGUAUAAAAUGAGAUGGUAUAUAUUGUGUUUUGUUGGGGCGACAAAAAUAGAACUAGUAUCUGUUGUUUUUAAUAAGUUAAUGAUAAUUAAAAGAUGAGCCUUUUUUAUGGAUCUGAAGAUUAAGUUACUUUAGGGAUAACAGCGUAAUUUUCUUUGAGAGAUCUAAUCGACAAGAGUAGUUGCGACCUCGAUGUUGAAUUAAAAUUUUCUAUCAAGUGCAGUAGCUUGGAUAGUAAGUCUGUUCGACUUUUAAAAUUUUACAUGAUCUGAGUUC